CAAAGUGCUUCCUUUUAGAGUGU
RNAcentral lists this microRNA (23 nucleotides) under Macaca mulatta (Rhesus monkey). RNAcentral describes it as "Mml-Mir-430-P30_3p (mature (co-guide))". Lineage: Eukaryota; Metazoa; Chordata; Mammalia; Primates; Cercopithecidae. The record is from RNAcentral.